UACGAAGGGGGCAAGCGUUGCUCGGAAUUACUGGGCGUAAAGCGUGCGUAGGUGGUUUGUUAAGUCUGUUGUGAAAGCCCCGGGCUCAACCUGGGAAUGGCAAUGGAUACUGGCAAGCUAGAGUGCGGUAGAGGGUAGUGGAAUUCCCGGUGUAGCGGUGAAAUGCGUAGAGAUCGGGAGGAACACCAGUGGCGAAGGCGGCUACCUGGACCAGCACUGACACUGAGGCACGAAAGCGUGGGGAGCAAACAGG
Molecule: ribosomal RNA, 253 nt
Filed under: uncultured bacterium
Lineage: Bacteria
Description: partial 16S ribosomal RNA
Rfam family: Bacterial small subunit ribosomal RNA
Source: RNAcentral